GAAAAUAGAGUCCCUGAUGUCACGCUCUUAAGAAAACAGGAGUUGAAAGGGCCCCACACUGUGCGUGGAGCAAAUUAUCAACAGCAUCCCGAGUAACGACAGCAGCACCCAGCCGGCGGCCACAAAAGCUGCACGAAAGAUGCUCUCAGGCUGCCCCUAGAUGCCACCCCGGAUGCCGGCCUGGUGCACCCCCUUGUACACCUCCUGGAGAGGGCAGACAACCUCGGGCGCUGUCGUUCGUCAAGCUGCUCCGCUCGCCGCACAUCAACGUGGCAUGCAGAGCAAGCCGUGUGGGCGCCGGGAAACACUGCUGGAGACGGGCUCAAACUCAGAGACUUCGUCAUUAAGGCUGGCAUUGUACAACCUCUUCUGGAACUCAUUAGACCAGACACAGAGGAAAGUUCAUGAGGAUGUUUUCUUAUAUUUUAUAAUGGGAUGCUCCACCAUUCAGUGAUGUAUUCUUUCUUCACUUCAAAACUCAAGCACAAAGUGGAACAGUAAACUAAUGCUUAAAAGAGAAAGGAAAAAUAAACUGUUCAUCAGAAUAAACUGUCUUCAGUAUCUUCAGUCCUGUAGCAUCACCGCAUCAUAAUGAAUGUAUUGCUGAGUGUAGAUACACAGGUCUUUGUUGAGCAGGCAUGAAAAGGCGGCACCAGGUGGAAGGCCACAGCCACAGACGGCAGGCCAGUGCUGUUACACAAUACGGUGAUGGAGGCAGUGGUAGUGAACAGGGUUAUAACUUGUUGGCUGCUGGAAGGUGUUUGAAGAAUGGGUACUUUGAAUUACGAGAAGCUAAUAAAGUAAUGCAAAGGCUAGAGUUCAAUUCUCAGGUCUGAGGACAUGUAUCUUAACAUAAAUUCCUUAGUCAUUCAUUCAUUAUUGUCUUAGAAGACACAAUAAAACCCAGUGCGGUGAUGCCCCACUCGGACCGCUUCCUGCAUGCAUCAGUUAUUUGUGUGUCAUACCAGUGGGAGUAUUGUAGGUUAACAUGGCUCGUUAAUAUUCACCCAGCAAAGGGUUAUAAAUGUGUUCAUCUUCUCAGACUGCCGAGAUCAACGAGGUGGACCGCCUGGGCCAGAUGAGUGAGGAGUGCGGCGGACUGGACAAGACUGAGGACUGCAGCACCACGACAACGAGGCCGUGUACGAGAAGGCCCGGGAUGGAUAUCAUCGAGAAGUGUUCCGGCGAGGAGGAGGGCCCCGAGGUGAGCAGCACCACCAGUGGCCAGGCGUACGACUUCUCUGCCGUAAACAACGUGCCUGAGGGUGGAUUCUCUUUCUAGGACUUCAGUGUGUGUGUCUGGCAAGGGAGGAGCAGCAGCAGGCAGGGUGUGUGAGUUCCACGGCGAAAUAAUGUAAUAAUGUAUCUAACCGUCAAUCUCACUUGUCUAAGUGGCCUCUGCAGCAUGUUUUACUGGGCCUUCAGUGGACCCGCUGGUGCCUCAAUGUUUUACUGGGCCUUCAGUGGACCCGCUGGUGCCUCAAUGUUUUACUUGGCCUUCAGUGGACCCGCUGGUGCCUCAGUGUUUUACUGGGCCUUCAGUGGACCCGCUGGUGCCUCAGUGUUUUACUGGGCCUUCAGUGGACCCGCUGGUGCCUCAAUGUUUUACUGGGCCUUCAGUGGACCCGCUGGUGCCUCAGUGUUUUACUGGGCCUUCAGUGGAUCCGCUGGUGCCUCAAUGUUUUACUGGGCCUUCAGUGGACCCGCUAGUGCCUCAAUGUUUUACUGGGCCUUCAGUGGACCCGCUGGUGCCUCAAUGUUUUACUGGGCCUUCAGUGGACCCUCUGGUGCCUCAAUGUUUCACUGGGCCUUCAGUGGACCCGCUGGUGCCUCAAUGUUUUACUGGGCCUUCAGUGGACCCGCUGGUGCCUUUGUGUGUGUUUAAAAAUUGUUUGCUUGAUAGGCUGAAGCUUGAGGAAUUUUGUGGAUUACUUUUCAUAUUAGGUUAUGGCUCUUUUAGCUCUUUUUAUUCUUCCAAUAAAUUUAACUUUAUAAACUGCCUAAUGCAUUUGACUCAGAUGAGUUUUUUGUAAUAAGGGACCAAAUAAAUUUGUGCCAGAUGAUGAUAAAUCUGAACAUCCAGCACAAUGUAUCCUUC
Eriocheir sinensis (Chinese mitten crab) is the source of this 2098-nucleotide long non-coding RNA. RefSeq lists it as uncharacterized. NCBI's taxonomy places the organism in Eukaryota, Metazoa, Arthropoda, Malacostraca, Decapoda, Varunidae. The record is from RefSeq and is a predicted model, not a curated record. The transcript is spliced from 3 exons.